AUGGCUCUAGUAACGGCGAGUGAAGCAGCCAAAGCUCAAAUUUGAAAGCUCCUAACAAGGCGCAUUGUAAUUUGAAGAUGGUAUUCUGAAUUAGUCCUUUACCUCAGUUCCUUGGAACAGGACGCCAUAGAGGGUGAGAGCCCCGUGUGGAAUUGGUCACUAAUUCGUGUAGUUUACCUUCAAAGAGUCGAGUUGUUUGGGAAUGCAGCUCUAAGUGGGUGGUAAAUUCCAUCUAAAGCUAAAUAUUGGCGAGAGACCGAUAGCGAACAAGUACUGUGAAGGAAAGAUGAAAAGAACUUUGAAAAGAGAGUGAAAAAGUACGUGAAAUUGUUGAAAGGGAAGGGAAUUAGACUAGACUUGGAUUUCUGUUAUCAGCAGUCUCUCGGGACUGUGCACUAGCAGUUUUCUAGGCCAGGAUCUGUUUGGAGGCCAGGAUAAAACCCAAAGAAUGUGGCUCCUCGGAGUGUUAUAGCUUUGGUUGAAUACUGGCAUUCUGGACAGAGGACCGCGCUUCGUGCUAGGAUCCUGGCGUAAUAGUCUUAUUCCACCCGUCUUGAAACACGGACCAAGGAGUCUAACGUCUAUGCGAGUGUUUGGGUGUUAAACCCGUACGCGAAGUGAAAGCGAGUAGGUUGGAGCCAUUUGGCGCACAAUCAACCGAUCCUGAAGUCUUCUGAUGGAUUUGAGUAGAGCAUAGCUGUUGGGACCCGAAAGAUGGUGAACUAUGCCUGAAUAGGGUGAAGCCAGAGGAAACUCUGGUGGAGGCUCGUAGCGGUUCUGACGUUCAAAUCGAUCGUCAAAUUUGGGUAUAGGGGCGAAAGACUAAUCGAACCAUCUAGUAGCUGGUUCCUGCCGA
This 856-nucleotide ribosomal RNA is filed under the name Tardiomyces digboiensis. RNAcentral's name for it is "LSU rRNA". It matches the Rfam family "Eukaryotic large subunit ribosomal RNA", at positions 74 to 964 of the family's 3401-position model. The record is from RNAcentral. Lineage: Eukaryota; Fungi; Ascomycota; Dipodascomycetes; Dipodascales; Trichomonascaceae.